This 256-nucleotide ribosomal RNA is filed under the name uncultured bacterium. Its description in RNAcentral is "partial 16S ribosomal RNA". It matches the Rfam family "Bacterial small subunit ribosomal RNA", at positions 98 to 354 of the family's 1533-position model. The record is from RNAcentral.
CGGGACGGGUGAGUAACGCGUGGGUAACCUGCCUCAUACAGGGGGAUAACAGUUAGAAAUGACUGCUAAUACCGCAUAAGACCACAGUGCCGCAUGGCACAGGGGCCAAAGCCUUGACGGUAUGAGAUGGACCCGCGUCUGAUUAGGUAGUUGGUGGGGUAACGGCCUACCAAGCCGACGAUCAGUAGCCGACCUGAGAGGGUGACCGGCCACAUUGGGACUGAGACACGGCCCAAACUCCUACGGGAGGCAGCAG